UACAUAGGGUGCAAGCGUUGUCCGGAAUUAUUGGGCGUAAAGAGCUCGUAGGCGGUUAUUUAAGUCUGGGGGUGAAAAGGUUCAGCGCUCAACGCGAACAGUGCCUUGGAUACUGGAUGACUUGAGUCUGGGGAGGGGGAAGGGGAAUUCCUGGGUGGUAGCGGUGAAAUGCGUAGAUAAUCAGGAGGAACACCGGUGGCGAAAGGGCGGACCUUUCCCGUUGG
RNAcentral lists this ribosomal RNA (224 nucleotides) under uncultured bacterium. RNAcentral's name for it is "partial 16S ribosomal RNA". It matches the Rfam family "Bacterial small subunit ribosomal RNA", at positions 524 to 740 of the family's 1533-position model. The record is from RNAcentral.